AUGAUAGAGGUCGCAAUAUUAAUAAGUAAUUUUGUGGAGGUAAGCACAGUGAAGCAAAAUGAAAGGUAAUGUUGCCGAAAUAUAUAAGUGACGCUUUAAGCUUAUAUGUUGGGGUUAUGCAUAAUAUGUAUAACACUGUCACAUAAAUUUGUGGAGUGCUAUCUUU
This 166-nucleotide non-coding RNA is filed under the name human gut metagenome. RNAcentral describes it as "Lysine riboswitch". It matches the Rfam family "Lysine riboswitch aptamer". Rfam says of the family: Riboswitches are metabolite binding domains within certain messenger RNAs that serve as precision sensors for their corresponding targets. Allosteric rearrangement of mRNA structure is mediated by ligand binding, and this results in modulation of gene expression. The record is from RNAcentral.